GCGCCGAUGGUACUGCCACCGAAGGGUGGUGGGAGAGUAGGACACCGCCGGAC
RNAcentral lists this ribosomal RNA (53 nucleotides) under Motilibacter rhizosphaerae. Lineage: Bacteria; Bacillati; Actinomycetota; Actinomycetes; Motilibacterales; Motilibacteraceae. The record is from RNAcentral.